This 68-nucleotide transfer RNA is filed under the name Pectinatella magnifica. RNAcentral describes it as "tRNA-Ser". Lineage: Eukaryota; Metazoa; Bryozoa; Phylactolaemata; Pectinatellidae. The record is from RNAcentral.
AGAGCUUGUUGAAUAAAUUCAUGGGCUUCUAACCCAAAAAUGUAAGGUGAAACUCCUUACCAGCUCUA